This 64-nucleotide transfer RNA is filed under the name Julodis variolaris. RNAcentral's name for it is "tRNA-His". Lineage: Eukaryota; Metazoa; Arthropoda; Insecta; Coleoptera; Buprestidae. The record is from RNAcentral.
AUUUAAGUAGUUUAUAAAAAUAUUGAUUUGUGGAGUCAAAGUUGUAGAAAUACUACCUUAAAUA